RNAcentral lists this ribosomal RNA (372 nucleotides) under uncultured organism. RNAcentral's name for it is "partial 16S ribosomal RNA". It matches the Rfam family "Bacterial small subunit ribosomal RNA", at positions 527 to 896 of the family's 1533-position model. The record is from RNAcentral.
GUAGGUGGCAAGCGUUGUCCGGAAUUAUUGGGCGUAAAGCGCGCGCAGGCGGUCCUCUAAGUCUGAUGUGAAAGCCCACGGCUCAACCGUGGAGGGUCAUUGGAAACUGGGGGACUUGAGUACAGAAGAGGAAAGCGGAGUUCCAAGUGUAGCGGUGAAAUGCGUAGAGAUUUGGAGGAACACCAGUGGCGAAGGCGGCUUUCUGGUCUGUAACUGACGCUGAGGCGCGAAAGCGUGGGGAGCAAACAGGAUUAGAUACCCUGGUAGUCCACGCCGUAAACGAUGAGUGCUAAGUGUUAGGGGGGUUUCCGCCCCCCUUAGUGCUGCAGCUAACGCAUUAAGCACUCCGCCUGGGAUACGGCCGCAAGGCUG